CAAUAGCGUAUAUUAAAGUUGUUGCAGUUAAAAAGCUCGUAGUUGGAUUUCUGGUGGGAGCGAUCGGUCUGGCGCUUAGCGCGAGUACUUGCAUCGUCUACGGCCAUCCUUGGGGAGAGUCUGUCUGGCAUUAAGUUGUCGGGCAGAGGAUCCUCAUCGUUUACUGUGAAAAAAUUAGAGUGUUCAAAGCAGGCUUAUGCCGUUGAAUAUAUUAGCAUGGAAUAAUAAGAUAGGACUUUGGUACUAUUUUGUUGGUUUGCGCACCAAAGUAAUGAUUAAUAGGGACAGUUGGGGGUAUUCGUAUUCCGUUGUCAGAGGUGAAAUUCUUGGAUUUACGGAAGACGAACUACUGCGAAAGCAUUUACCAAGGAUGUUUUCAUUAA
RNAcentral lists this ribosomal RNA (383 nucleotides) under uncultured eukaryote. RNAcentral's name for it is "partial 18S ribosomal RNA". It matches the Rfam family "Eukaryotic small subunit ribosomal RNA", at positions 592 to 976 of the family's 1831-position model. The record is from RNAcentral.